RNAcentral lists this ribosomal RNA (414 nucleotides) under uncultured bacterium. Its description in RNAcentral is "bacterial SSU rRNA". It matches the Rfam family "Bacterial small subunit ribosomal RNA", at positions 355 to 787 of the family's 1533-position model. The record is from RNAcentral.
UGGGGAAUAUUGCACAAUGGGGGAAACCCUGAUGCAGCGACGCCGCGUGAAGGAAGAAGUAUCUCGGUUAUGUAAACUUCAUAUCAGCAGGGAAGAAAAUGACGGUACCUGACUAAGAAGCCCCGGCUAACUACGUGCCAGCAGCCGCGGUAAUACGUAGGGGGCAAGCGUUAUCCGGAUUUACUGGGUGUAAAGGGAGCGUAGACGGAGCAGCAAGUCUGAUGUGAAAGGCGGGGCUCAACCCCUGGACUGCAUUGGAAACUGUUGUCUGAGUACCGGAGAGGCAAGCGGAAUUCCUAGUGUAGCGGUGAAAUGCGUAGAUAUUAGGAGGAACACCAGUGGCGAAGGCGGCUUACUGGACGGUAACUGACGUUGAGGCUCGAAAGCGUGGGGAGCAAACAGGAUUAGAUACCC